UGGGCAACCUGCCCCCUGACACUGGGAUAACCCCCGGGGAAACCCGGAGCUAAUACCGGAUACUCUCGGCCGAUCACAUGGCUGGCCGAGGAAAGGUCCGCCGGUCAGGGAUGGGCCCGCGGCCUAUCAGCUUGUUGGUGAGGUAAUGGCUCACCAAGGCGACGACGGGUAGCCGGCCUGAGAGGGCGAUCGGCCACAUUGGAACUGAGACACGGUCCAGACUCCUACGGGAGGCAG
This 237-nucleotide ribosomal RNA is filed under the name uncultured bacterium. RNAcentral describes it as "partial 16S ribosomal RNA". It matches the Rfam family "Bacterial small subunit ribosomal RNA", at positions 118 to 351 of the family's 1533-position model. The record is from RNAcentral.